CAGUAGCCGCGGUAAUACGAAGGGGGCUAGCGUUGCUCGGAAUGACUGGGCGUAAAGGGCGCGUAGGCGGUUUUGACAGUCAGAUGUGAAAUUCCUGGGCUUAACCUGGGGGCUGCAUUUGAGACGUCAAGACUAGAGUGUGAGAGAGGGUUGUGGAAUUCCCAGUGUAGAGGUGAAAUUCGUAGAUAUUGGGAAGAACACCGGUGGCGAAGGCGGCAACCUGGCUCAUUACUGACGCUGAGGCGCGAAAGCGUGGGGAGCAAACAGGAUUAGAUACCCGGGUAGUCCCUGUCUCUUAUAC
RNAcentral lists this ribosomal RNA (301 nucleotides) under uncultured bacterium. Its description in RNAcentral is "partial 16S ribosomal RNA". It matches the Rfam family "Bacterial small subunit ribosomal RNA", at positions 509 to 807 of the family's 1533-position model. The record is from RNAcentral.